GGGACUGUGAACAUAUGAAGGGGAAAAAAUGUAGAAUUUUAUUAAGGCUAAAAAUUUUAGCACACAUUAUUUCAGCUUCGUGAGGUUUGUGGUUAGCAUGCAACAAUCCUGUGAAUGUGAACAACAAAGGACUUUUCAUGUUUAUCCAGAAAAAAGCUUUAACUACCACCAAGAAAAAGAUCUUUUCCGUCAUCUGAUAAAUUCACUGGACGUAUAGGUAGAAAGACUAUUGUAGACAUUCUAAUAGACUUCCAAGACUGGACAUGGGACCUAUGACCUGACAAAAAUGAAGACUUAAACUAUGAGGUGAGGAAAUAGUCUCCAGUCUUUGAUUUUUGGAUGGUACUGUGUGGAUCCACGAGUUGGAUUCGAUCCUUGAGGGUCCCUUCCAACUCAGGAGGUUCUGUGAUUCUGUGGUUCUAUGAUCUCAUUCAGGGAGACAAGUUCCCUGGGAAGCUUGUGUGUGGGUGGUGUAUACAAUCACUCCUGAGAGACUUGGCAGUAGGCAGCAAUCCACUGGCUGUGAUGUAGCCUCAAUCCUGCAUUUUGUGGGAUGGACAAUGGACAUGGUACAAAGGAAGAUUAGGGGAAAAAAAUACAGCAAUUCUGUCUUCAUACUUCGCUACUAAAAAAUCCCAGCAGAUGAAGAAGAUGGCCAGGACAGUAAUGAUGAAGAGUGGCAAGGCUCUCUGAAAAUUCAAGCUGCAGGCUGCAAUAACUGCUGCCAAAUCACUGUCAAUAUUGAUGAAUUCAUCCUCCUGGAAAACAGAUCAGUACCGACUGUGAGAGGGAUGCAUGUUUGUAAAGUAACGUGAAAAACAGAGAACCCCACGGGCAGAUGUCUGAAGCACUUUCCCCUUCUCCACUGAGUGCACAGCUCCAGCUCUCCUGUCUGUAACCAACGCUGUCAUAACUAGUAGGCAAAUGAGGUAGUUAAAAGCGUGACUGCCAACUCACCAGUGUUUUGAGUUACAAACUUUCCCAAGCCUUCCACAUGAUUUUGAAAGAGAAAAUAAAGGGAAAAAAAAA
Long non-coding RNA from Numida meleagris (helmeted guineafowl), 1029 nucleotides. RefSeq lists it as uncharacterized. NCBI's taxonomy places the organism in Eukaryota, Metazoa, Chordata, Aves, Galliformes, Numididae. The transcript is spliced from 3 exons. The record is from RefSeq and is a predicted model, not a curated record.